Molecule: ribosomal RNA, 253 nt
Filed under: uncultured bacterium
Lineage: Bacteria
Description: partial 16S ribosomal RNA
Rfam family: Bacterial small subunit ribosomal RNA
Source: RNAcentral
UACGUAGGUGGCAAACGUUGUCCGGAUUUACUGGGCGUAAAGAGCGCGCAGGCGGUCGUUCAAGUCGAGUGUGAAAGCCCCCGGCUCAACUGGGGAGGGUCACUCGAUACUGAUCGACUCGAAGGCAGGAGAGGGAAGUGGAAUUCCCGGUGUAGUGGUGAAAUGCGUAGAUAUCGGGAGGAACACCAGUGGCGAAGGCGACUUCCUGGCCUGUUCUUGACGCUGAGGCGCGAAAGCUAGGGGGGCAAGCGGG